This 510-nucleotide ribosomal RNA is filed under the name uncultured bacterium. Its description in RNAcentral is "partial 16S ribosomal RNA". It matches the Rfam family "Bacterial small subunit ribosomal RNA", at positions 28 to 507 of the family's 1533-position model. The record is from RNAcentral.
GACGAACGCUGGCGGCGUGCUUAACACAUGCAAGUCGAACGAAGAGCGAUGGAAGCUUGCUUCUGUCAAUCUUAGUGGCGAACGGGUGAGUAACGCGUAAUCAACCUGCCCUUCAGAGGGGGACAACAGUUGGAAACGGCUGCUAAUACCGCAUACGAUCUAAUCUCGGCAUCGAGGAUAGAUGAAAGGUGGCCUCUACAUGUAAGCUAUCACUGAAGGAGGGGAUUGCGUCUGAUUAGCUAGUUGGAGGGGUAACGGCCCACCAAGGCGAUGAUCAGUAGCCGGUCUGAGAGGAUGAACGGCCACAUUGGGACUGAGACACGGCCCAGACUCCUACGGGAGGCAGCAGUGGGGAAUCUUCCGCAAUGGACGAAAGUCUGACGGAGCAACGCCGCGUGAGUGAUGACGGCCUUCGGGUUGUAAAGCUCUGUUAAUCGGGACGAAAGGCCUUCUUGCGAAUAGUGAGAAGGAUUGACGGUACCGGAAUAGAAAGCCACGGCUAACUACGUG